GGGCGGAGCCACGGCGCUGGCGGCCCCGGCGGCGGCGGCAGGUGUGGAUGGGGCGAAGGUGCGGGAACGUCCACUCCCGCGCGCCCCUCUCGGGGACCAGGGCGGCCUCCCAGGAGGAGCUUGGUUUCUGGUCCUCAUACCGUGUGGUUGAGUGAAAUCAAAACUUCCACGAUAGCAAUGCUGAUUGGACAAAGAAUGUGUUGUGGACACAAAACCAAACUCUGGAGGACAGAGGAUUCAUUCCAAGGUAGAGACAGAUUCUCUGGAAGUACCUUCUCAAGGCCAGUGUAGAGCUCCCAAUCACCCAGCAGAUUCUCCCUCUCCCACUGCCCGCACCAAGCAGGUCUCCAGGUGUUCCAGCUGCUGAUGAAGUCCAGUGUGGAGUUGGUCCAGGAGGGUCGUGUUCCAGGCAGCAGAGGAGCGCUCUGUGUGGAAGAGGCUGAAGAUCUGCUGCAGCAUCUCAUGGAGGACAGACAGGGCCUGGGCCUGCUGCAACUGGCUGUCAUACACAUCUCCAGGGGAAACCUGAAGUCUCUUCUGUCCUUGAGACACAAGAAAGGGGAGAUCCAUUUCAUUUGGCCCAGAAGCACCAACGUCUUCCUUCCUGUCAGACCAUGGUUCUGAGUCAGGUCACAUCCCAGAGAUCAAAAAGAGCCACAGCUGCACACAACUAGGACCACCACUAGAGAGUGAAGAUGGAGUCUCAGUCACCAGGCUGGAGUGCAGUGGCACAAUCUCAGCUCACUGCAACCUUCACCUCCUGGGUUCAAGCAAUUCCCCUGCCUCAGCCUCUCGAGUAGCUGGGACUACAGGUGCUCACCACCAUGCCUGGCUAAUUUUUUUUAUUUUAGUAGAGUCGGGGUUUCACCAUGUUGGCCAGGCUGGUCUCGAUCUCCUGAUCUCAUGAUCCACCUGCCUCGGCCUCCCAAAGUGCUGAGAUUAUAGGUUUGAGCCACCAUGACUGGCCGAAUUUUUGUAACUUCUUUUCACAUAGUGGUUUACUGGGUAAGGUGUAUCUUGCUUCUCCUACAUGAUAUUCUUAUUUAUGAUGAAUUAAAACAAAUAAAGAAAAGUAAAAGAAAGGCAAAGGAACCAUAUUGUUCUUCUCCAUAAUUUUCAAGAUUUCAGAUUUUUUGUCUCUCAUUUCAACUUUCCUAGAAAGCAAACCUCAACAAUUGCUUAUAUAUUAAAAACAAAACAAAUAUAAGCCUGAAUAUCAGGAAGUAAGAGAAGUGACUUUCUGCUGACAAAAUAGCAAAACAUAUGUUAGCAAAAUUCAGUGCAGCAAAAUUAGAGACUAGGGACUCUGUCCCAGGGGAAGGAUGAAUGUCAUUGUUGAGGUACACAAAAGCAAGGGAAACGGCUGCUUCUGCCAGAGCCUCACAGAAGAGCAACUCCUGGGUCAAUGGAUUGUCCUCAGCUUUGCAAGACCAGCCACCUGCUCUUCUUUCAUUGAAUGCAGAUGUUAUCACCUCUGAGGUAAGAAAGGAGGAGUCACACCAACCAACUCACAGUAGACUGGCAACAAGACCCCAGUUGCUAGAACACUAGUCCUCUCUGGCAUGAUAAUGAAUAUUAGCCUUGCCUUAGCACCGUACCUAGUUAAAAAAUCCACCCAGGAAAUGAAAAGAUGGCAUUUAGAAACCUGCAAAGAAACAGAAUUUGAUUUCCCAAAAGAUUCUGCUCCUAGUUGUGUUAUAACAAUGGUGAUUUUUUUAAAAGAUAACACCAAAAUUAUUGCAUUAUAACUAUAGGCCUGUGACUGUUUUAAGAUCAUUAAAACUGUUGACCCAA
Molecule: long non-coding RNA, 1794 nt
Organism: Homo sapiens (human)
Lineage: Eukaryota; Metazoa; Chordata; Mammalia; Primates; Hominidae
Gene: MIR31HG
Product: MIR31 host gene
Source: Ensembl